CGCGAUUCGCCCUUGGGGUGCAGCAGGCGCGAAAACUUUACAAUGCUGGCAACAGCGAUAAGGGGACCUCGAGUGCCAGGAUACAAUCUUGGCUGUCGCGAUGCCUAAAAAGCAUUGCAUAGCAAGGGCCGGGCAAGACCGGUGCCAGCCGCCGCGGUAACACCGGCGGCUCGAGUGGUAACCGCUAUUAUUGGGUCUAAAGGGUCUGUAGCCGGCCGGAUAAGUCUUUUGGGAAAUCCAGCUGCUCAACAGUUGGGCUUUCAGAAGAUACUGUUCGGCUCGAGGCCGGGAGAGGUGAGAGGUACUUCAGGGGUAGGGGUGAAAUCUUGUAAUCCUUGAAGGACCACCAGUGGCGAAGGCGUCUCACCAGAACGGAUCUGACGGCAAGGGACGAAAGCUAGGGGCACGAACCGGAUUAGAUACCCGGGUAGUCCUAGCCGUAAACGAUACUCGCUAGGUGUCAGCCACGGUGCGACCGUGGUUGGUGCCGUAGGGAAGCCGUGAAGCGAGCCACCUGGGAAGUACGGCCGCAAGGCUGAAACUUAAAGGAAUUGGCGGGGGAGCAC
Molecule: ribosomal RNA, 566 nt
Filed under: uncultured archaeon
Lineage: Archaea
Description: bacterial SSU rRNA
Rfam family: Archaeal small subunit ribosomal RNA
Source: RNAcentral